RNAcentral lists this ribosomal RNA (686 nucleotides) under uncultured bacterium. RNAcentral's name for it is "bacterial SSU rRNA". It matches the Rfam family "Bacterial small subunit ribosomal RNA", at positions 126 to 812 of the family's 1533-position model. The record is from RNAcentral.
CUGCCGUAUACUGGGGGAUAACACUUAGAAAUAGGUGCUAAUACCGCAUAAGCGCACAGCUUCGCAUGAAGUGGUGUGAAAAACUCUGGUGGUAUACGAUGGUUCCGCGUCUGAUUAGCUUGUUGGUGGGGUAAUGGCUCACCAAGGCGACGAUCAGUAGCCGGCCUGAGAGGGUGAACGGCCACAUUGGGACUGAGACACGGCCCAAACUCCUACGGGAGGCAGCAGUGGGGAAUAUUGCACAAUGGGGGAAACCCUGAUGCAGCGACGCCGCGUGAGUGAAGAAGUAUUUCGGUAUGUAAAGCUCUAUCAGCAGGGAAGAAAUAGCGACCUUUGGGUCGCCAGACGGUACCUGAUUAAGAAGCCCCGGCUAACUACGUGCCAGCAGCCGCGGUAAUACGUAGGGGGCAAGCGUUAUCCGGAUUUACUGGGUGUAAAGGGAGCGUAGACGGCAGCACAAGUCUGAAGUGAAAUGCCGGGGCUUAACCCCGGAACUGCUUUGGAAACUGUGCAGCUAGAGUGCAGGAGAGGUAAGUGGAAUUCCUAGUGUAGCGGUGAAAUGCGUAGAUAUUAGGAGGAACACCAGUGGCGAAGGCGGCUUGCUGGACUGUAACUGACGUUGAGGCUCGAAAGCGUGGGGAGCAAACAGGAUUAGAUACCCUGGUAGUCCACGCUGUAAACGAUGA